AGAGUUUGAUCCUGGCUCAGGACGAACGCUGGCGGCGCGCCUAACACAUGCAAGUCGAACGGAGCUUAGAGAGCUUGCUUUUUAAGCUUAGUGGCGAACGGGUGAGUAACGCGUGAGUAACCUGCCCUAGAGUGGGGGACAACAGUUGGAAACGACUGCUAAUACCGCAUAAGCCCACGGUACCGCAUGGUACUGAGGGAAAAGGAUUUAUUCGCUUUAGGAUGGACUCGCGUCCAAUUAGCUAGUUGGUGAGGUAACGGCCCACCAAGGCGACGAUUGGUAGCCGGACUGAGAGGUUGAACGGCCACAUUGGGACUGAGACACGGCCCAGACUCCUACGGGAGGCAGCAGUGGGGGAUAUUGCACAAUGGGGGAAACCCUGAUGCAGCGACGCCGCGUGGAGGAAGAAGGUUUUCGGAUUGUAAACUCCUGUCGUUAGGGACGAUAAUGACGGUACCUAACAAGAAAGCACCGGCUAACUACGUGCCAGCAGCCGCGGCAAAACGUAGGGUGCAAGCGUUGUCCGGAAUUACUGGGUGUAAAGGGAGCGCAGGCGGGAAGACAAGUUGGAAGUGAAAACCAUGGGCUCAACCCAUGAACUGCUUUCAAAACUGUUUUUCUUGAGUAGUGCAGAGGUAGAUGGAAUUCCCGGUGUAGCGGUGGAAUGCGUAGAUAUCGGGAGGAACACCAGUGGCGAAGGCGGUCUACUGGGCACCAACUGACGCUGAGGCUCGAAAGCUUGGGUAGCAAACAGGAUUAGAUACCCUGGUAGUCCAUGCCGUAAACGAUGAUUACUAGGUGUUGGGGGAUUGACCCCCUCAGUGCCGCAGUUAACACAAUAAGUAAUCCACCUGGGGAGUACGACCGCAAGGUUGAAACUCAAAGGAAUUGACGGGGGCCCGCACAAGCAGUGGAGUAUGUGGUUUAAUUCGAAGCAACGCGAAGAACCUUACCAGGUCUUGACAUCCGAUGCAUAGCACAGAGAUGUGUGAAAUCCUUCGGGACAUCGAGACAGGUGGUGCAUGGUUGUCGUCAGCUCGUGUCGUGAGAUGUUGGGUUAAGUCCCGCAACGAGCGCAACCCUUAUUGCCAGUUACUACGUUAAGAGGACUCUGGCGAGACUGCCGUUGACAAAACGGAGGAAGGUGGGGAUGACGUCAAAUCAUCAUGCCCUUUAUGACCUGGGCUACACACGUACUACAAUGGCGUUAAACAAAGAGAAGCAAGACCGCGAGGUGGAGCAAAACU
Molecule: ribosomal RNA, 1247 nt
Filed under: metagenome
Description: bacterial SSU rRNA
Rfam family: Bacterial small subunit ribosomal RNA
Source: RNAcentral